RNAcentral lists this ribosomal RNA (390 nucleotides) under Bifidobacterium scaligerum. Its description in RNAcentral is "bacterial LSU rRNA". It matches the Rfam family "Bacterial large subunit ribosomal RNA", at positions 1 to 370 of the family's 2925-position model. Lineage: Bacteria; Bacillati; Actinomycetota; Actinomycetes; Bifidobacteriales; Bifidobacteriaceae. The record is from RNAcentral.
UGUUGCUUGCAAGGGCGUGUGGUGGAUGCCUUGGCAGACAGGACCGAUGAAGGACGUUGCAGGCCGCGAUAGGCCUCGGGGAGCCGCCAAGCGGGCUUUGAUCCGAGGAUUUCCGAAUGGGGGAACCCGCCAGCCGUCAUGGGUUGGCACCGCCUUCGGGCGGGGGGUACGCAGGGAAGUGAAACAUCUCAGUACCUGCAGGAAAGGAUAUUCCGUGAGUAGUGGCGAGCGAAAGCGGAUGAUGGCCAAACCUCAUGCGUGCGAUACCCGUCGGGGGUUGCGUGUGGGGUGUUGUGGGAGCAUGCGUGCCGGCGCCGACGCGUCGGCCGGCAGUUAUAAAGCCGUGUGUCAGGGGAACCGGAUUGGAUGCCGGGCCGUAGAGGGUGAUGG